AUGAACGCUGGCGGCGUGCCUAAUACAUGCAAGUCGAGCGAACAGACGAGGAGCUUGCUCCUCUGACGUUAGCGGCGGACGGGUGAGUAACACGUGGAUAACCUACCUAUAAGACUGGGAUAACUUCGGGAAACCGGAGCUAAUACCGGAUAAUAUAUUUAACCGCAUGGUUCAAUAGUGAAAGACGGUUUUGCUGUCACUUAUAGAUGGAUCCGCGCCGCAUUAGCUAGUUGGUAAGGUAACGGCUUACCAAGGCAACGAUGCGUAGCCGACCUGAGAGGGUGAUCGGCCACACUGGAACUGAGACACGGUCCAGACUCCUACGGGAGGCAGCAGUAGGGAAUCUUCCGCAAUGGGCGAAAGCCUGACGGAGCAACGCCGCGUGAGUGAUGAAGGUCUUCGGAUCGUAAAACUCUGUUAUUAGGGAAGAACAAAUGUGUAAGUAACUAUGCACGUCUUGACGGUACCGAAUCAGAAAGCCACGGCUAACUACGUG
Molecule: ribosomal RNA, 496 nt
Filed under: uncultured bacterium
Lineage: Bacteria
Description: partial 16S ribosomal RNA
Rfam family: Bacterial small subunit ribosomal RNA
Source: RNAcentral